GACGAACGCUGGCGGCGUGCCUAAUACAUGCAAGUCGAACGCUUCUUUCCUCCCGAGUGCUUGCACUCAAUUGGAAAGAGGAGUGGCGGACGGGUGAGUAACACGUGGGUAACUUACCCAUCAGAGGGGGAUAACACUUGGAAACAGGUGCUAAUACCGCAUAACAGUUUAUGCCGCAUGGCAUAAGAGUGAAAGGCGCUUUCGGGGGUCGCUGAUGGAUGGACCCGCGGUGCAUUAGCUAGUUGGUGAGGUAACGGCUCACCAAGGCCACGAUGCAUAGCCGACCUGAGAGGGUGAUCGGCCACACUGGGACUGAGACACGGCCCAGACUCCUACGGGAGGCAGCAGUAGGGAAUCUUCGGCAAUGGACGAAAGUCUGACCGAGCAACGCCGCGUGAGUGAAGAAGGUUUUCGGAUCGUAAAACCCUGUUGUUAGAGAAGAACAAGGACGUUAGUAACUGAACGUCCCCUGACGGUAUCUAACCAGAAAGACACGGCUAACUACGUG
Molecule: ribosomal RNA, 508 nt
Filed under: uncultured bacterium
Lineage: Bacteria
Description: partial 16S ribosomal RNA
Rfam family: Bacterial small subunit ribosomal RNA
Source: RNAcentral